GGGGUUGGCGAGAACCAAAUCAGAGAGCUAAGCAUGUAGAACUGCCCGAUGAAGGCUUGCGGACGCGGGUUCAAUUCCCGCCGGCUCCACCA
RNAcentral lists this transfer RNA (92 nucleotides) under Mitsuaria sp. BK037. RNAcentral describes it as "tRNA-OTHER". It matches the Rfam family "transfer-messenger RNA", at positions 282 to 374 of the family's 374-position model. From Rfam's summary of the family: Bacterial tmRNA, also known as 10Sa RNA or SsrA, is named for its dual tRNA and mRNA-like properties. RNAcentral also lists the same sequence under 2 other names. The record is from RNAcentral. Lineage: Bacteria; Pseudomonadati; Pseudomonadota; Betaproteobacteria; Burkholderiales; Sphaerotilaceae.